UUAACUCAAAUUUGUAUGGAGUUAGAACGUUUGCCUACGUUUGCCGCUAGGAGCGCUGUCCAACUGCAUAGAAAUCUGAGUUA
Molecule: microRNA precursor, 83 nt
Filed under: Bombyx mori (domestic silkworm)
Lineage: Eukaryota; Metazoa; Arthropoda; Insecta; Lepidoptera; Bombycidae
Description: mir-2807 microRNA precursor family
Rfam family: mir-2807 microRNA precursor family
Source: Rfam by way of RNAcentral